This 507-nucleotide ribosomal RNA is filed under the name uncultured bacterium. RNAcentral's name for it is "partial 16S ribosomal RNA". It matches the Rfam family "Bacterial small subunit ribosomal RNA", at positions 28 to 507 of the family's 1533-position model. The record is from RNAcentral.
GACGAACGCUGGCGGCGUGCCUAAUACAUGCAAGUCGAACGCAUUUUCUUUCACCGUAGCUUGCUACACCGAAAGAAAAUGAGUGGCGAACGGGUGAGUAACACGUGGGUAACCUGCCCAUCAGCGGGGGAUAACACUUGGAAACAGGUGCUAAUACCGCAUAAUUCCAUUUACCGCAUGGUAAAUGGAUGAAAGGCGCUUUUGCGUCACUGAUGGAUGGACCCGCGGUGCAUUAGCUAGUUGGUGGGGUAACGGCCUACCAAGGCUGCGAUGCAUAGCCGACCUGAGAGGGUGAUCGGCCACACUGGGACUGAGACACGGCCCAGACUACUACGGGAGGCAGCAGUAGGGAAUCUUCGGCAAUGGACGCAAGUCUGACCGAGCAACGCCGCGUGAGUGAAGAAGGGUGUCGGAUCGUAAAACUCUGUUGUUAGAGAAGAACAAGGAUGAGAGUGGAAAGUUCAUCCCUUGACGGUAUCUAACCAGAAAGCCACGGCUAACUACGUG